GUGGGGAAUAUUGGGCAAUGGGGGAAACCCUGACCCAGCAACGCCGCGUGAAGGAAGAAGGUUUUCGGAUCGUAAACUUCUAUCCUUGGUGAAGAUAAUGACGGUAGCCAAGAAGGAAGCCCCGGCUAACUACGUGCCAGCAGCCGCGGUAAUACGUAGGGGGCAAGCGUUGUCCGGAAUGAUUGGGCGUAAAGGGCGCGUAGGCGGCCUGGUAAGUCUGGAGUGAAAGUCCUGCUUUUAAGGUGGGAAUUGCUUUGGAUACUGUCGGGAUUGAGUGCAGGAGAGGGAAGCGGAAUUCCCGGUGUAGCGGUGAAAUGCGUAGAGAUCGGGAGGAACACCAGUGGCGAAGGCGACUUACUGGACUGUAACUGACGCUGAGGCGCGAAAGUGUGGGGAGCAAACAGGAUUAGAUACCCUGGUAGUCC
Molecule: ribosomal RNA, 425 nt
Filed under: uncultured bacterium
Lineage: Bacteria
Description: partial 16S ribosomal RNA
Rfam family: Bacterial small subunit ribosomal RNA
Source: RNAcentral